Molecule: long non-coding RNA, 445 nt
Organism: Pelmatolapia mariae (spotted tilapia)
Lineage: Eukaryota; Metazoa; Chordata; Actinopteri; Cichliformes; Cichlidae
Exons: 4
Source: RefSeq, a predicted model, not a curated record
GAAACAAGCCUUUCAAAAGAUCCAUAUGCAUGUCUCAAGGAACCAAACCAGGAUCGAGGUGCUGGAGACAGUACUAAAAGCUGAAAAGGUCAAGUGCGUGGUCUAAAGUGUUGUUAUUGUCCUCUGGGUCAUCAUUGGCAAGUGGGUUGCGGCUGAUGACCAGUUCCAGUCUGUCUCCUGCUUCUGUGAUGAGAGUGAGGCCUUUGACUUGGGCUCGUGGUGCAGGAGAGGGGAUUGGAUAUCUUGGUGAAUGUGGACCCCUUGUUGUAGGUGCAAUUCCUGGUUGAAAUGGGCCUCCUCGUGCAGAUGGGGGUCUGAGUGGCAAACAUAUUGCAAUGACUAACCUUGGUGAAGUUGAGCCUCUUCAUGAAGGUGGGCUUCCUCGUGAAGAUGGACACCCUGAUGGAGGUGUGUUCCCUGGUGGUGCAAGUUGCCUUGAUGCAGG